RNAcentral lists this ribosomal RNA (440 nucleotides) under uncultured bacterium. RNAcentral describes it as "partial 16S ribosomal RNA". It matches the Rfam family "Bacterial small subunit ribosomal RNA", at positions 338 to 795 of the family's 1533-position model. The record is from RNAcentral.
CCUACGGGUGGCAGCAGUGGGGAAUAUUGCACAAUGGGGGAAACCCUGAUGCAGCGACGCCGCGUGAGUGAAGAAGUACUUCGUUCUGUAAAGCUCUAUCAGCAGGGAAGAAAAUGACGGUACCUGAGUAAGAAGCCCCGGCUAACUACGUGCCAGCAGCCGCGGUAAUACGGAGGUGGCAAGCGUUAUCUGGAUUUACGGGGUGUAAGGGGAGCGUAGACGGCAGGGCAGGUCUGGAGUGAAAGGCGGGGGCUCAAGCCCUGGACUGCUCUGGAAACUGUACGGCUGGAGUGCAGGAGAGGUAAGUGGAAUGUCUAGUGUAGCGGUGAAAUGCGUAGAUAUUAGGAGGAACACCAGUGGCGAAGGCGGCUUACUGGACUGUAACUGACGUUGAGGCUCGAAAGCGUGGGUAGCAAACAGGAUUAGAUACCCCUGUAGUC